RNAcentral lists this long non-coding RNA (215 nucleotides) under Olea europaea subsp. europaea. Lineage: Eukaryota; Viridiplantae; Streptophyta; Magnoliopsida; Lamiales; Oleaceae. The record is from RNAcentral.
CGAAAAGCCCCAAAAUGUUCCCUCUCUUUACUUCCCCACCCAAGACCUCCACGUUGCUAGGGUUUAAUCAUACUGUCAACCCCCAACCCCAUUUUCGCACUCUUCCAAAUUCAUGUGUUAAAUUCCAAAACCCACCAUGAAUCCCCAAUUACUAAACCAUGAACCCAUGUUGAAAGACUCAAUCAAACAUUUCUUGUCCCUUUACGAAAAUGGAG